UAUAGAUAUUACAUAAGUAUUGAAAUUGUAUACAAUUUCAUAAUUGAUAUUACCCAGUAGGGAUACUGUGAAACUGAUCUUAAAAGAUUUUAAAAUGACCGUCUUUCCUAUUUAACAGGAAUAUGAAUAAAUUAAUUAAAUGUUGAUUGGUUGUCUAUUAACCUGGUAUUCAAUAAUCUUUCCAUGUGUGGCAUACAAGGUGUUAUUAUAACGCAAUACACUAAUUUAUAAUUGUAUCAGUUGAAACAUUUUUUUAAACCGUUUAAUUUGAAGUUUGUUUUAAAUAAUGUUUCCAGGAUUUUGUACAUAAUUGUUUUAGUAAUUUUAAAAUAUUUGUAUAGUUUAGGUAUGUAAAUUGUGAUGAAAAGUCAAGAAAUAAUUAUGCACCGACUCAUUUAAUUUACUUUUGGCUAUACUCUGAUUUUUUUAUACCUACUAUAGAUUUAUUAUAAGUGAUGAGUUUGAUAUUUGAUAUUGGCAUUGUUAGAAAAAUAUGAUUACUU
This is a non-coding RNA of Cinara cedri, 503 nucleotides long. Lineage: Eukaryota; Metazoa; Arthropoda; Insecta; Hemiptera; Aphididae. The record is from the annotation of a GenBank genome assembly.